Molecule: ribosomal RNA, 466 nt
Filed under: uncultured bacterium
Lineage: Bacteria
Description: bacterial SSU rRNA
Rfam family: Bacterial small subunit ribosomal RNA
Source: RNAcentral
CCUACGGGUUGCAGCAGUAGGGAAUCUUCCGCAAUGGACGAAAGUCUGACGGAGCAACGCCGCGUGAGUGAUGAAGGCUUUCGGGUCGUAAAACUCUGUUGUUAGGGAAGAACAAGUGCUAGUUGAAUAAGCUGGCACCUUGACGGUACCUAACCAGAAAGCCACGGCUAACUACGUGCCAGCAGCCGCGGUAAUACGUAGGUGGCAAGCGUUAUCCGGAAUUAUUGGGCGUAAAGCGCGCGCAGGUGGUUUCUUAAGUCUGAUGUGAAAGCCCACGGCUCAACCGUGGAGGGUCAUUGGAAACUGGGAGACGUGAGUGCAGAAGAGGAAAGUGGAAUUCCAUGUGUAGCGGUGAAAUGCGUAGAGAUAUGGAGGAACACCAGUGGCGAAGGCGACUUUCUGGUCUGUAACUGACACUGAGGCGCGAAAGCGUGGGGAGCAAACAGGAUUAGAUACCCUAGUAGUC